RNAcentral lists this transfer RNA (74 nucleotides) under Gemmatimonadota bacterium. RNAcentral describes it as "Gemmatimonadetes bacterium tRNA-Met". It matches the Rfam family "tRNA". Rfam says of the family: Transfer RNA (tRNA) molecules are approximately 80 nucleotides in length. Their secondary structure includes four short double-helical elements and three loops (D, anti-codon, and T loops). RNAcentral also lists the same sequence under 1 other name. The record is from RNAcentral. Lineage: Bacteria; Pseudomonadati; Gemmatimonadota.
GGCGGCGUAGCUCAGGUGGUUAGAGCAGCGGAAUCAUAAUCCGCGGGUCGUCGGUUCGAGUCCGACCGCCGCUA